Molecule: ribosomal RNA, 497 nt
Filed under: uncultured bacterium
Lineage: Bacteria
Description: partial 16S ribosomal RNA
Rfam family: Bacterial small subunit ribosomal RNA
Source: RNAcentral
GAUGAACGCUGGCGGCGUGCCUAAUACAUGCCAGUCGAGCGAACAGACGAGGAGCUUGCUCCUCUGACGUUAGCGGCGGACGGGUGAGUAACACGUGGAUAACCUACCUAUAAGACUGGGAUAACUUCGGGAAACCGGAGCUAAUACCGGAUAAUAUAUUGAACCGCAUGGUUCAAUAGUGAAAGACGGUUUUGCUGUCACUUAUAGAUGGAUCCGCGCCGCAUUAGCUAGUUGGUAAGGUAACGGCUUACCAAGGCAACGAUGCGUAGCCGACCUGAGAGGGUGAUCGGCCACACUGGAACUGAGACACGGUCCAGACUCCUACGGGAGGCAGCAGUAGGGAAUCUUCCGCAAUGGGCGAAAGCCUGUCGGAGCAACGCCGCGUGAGUGAUGAAGGUCUUCGGAUCGUAAAACUCUGUUAUUAGGGAAGAACAAAUGUGUAAGUAACUAUGCACGUCUUGACGGUACCUAAUCAGAAAGCCACGGCUAACUACGUG